CAGCGCCGCGGGAAUACGUAGGGUGCGAGCGUUAAUCGGAACUACUGGGCGUAAAGCGUGCGCAGGCGGUUCGCUAAGACAGAUGUGAAAUCCCCGGGCUUAACCUGGGAACUGCAUUUGUGACUGGCGAGCUAGAGUAUGGCAGAGGGGGGUAGAAUUCCACGUGUAGCAGUGAAAUGCGUAGAGAUGUGGAGGAAUACCGAUGGCGAAGGCAGCCCCCUGGGCCAAUACUGACGCUCAUGCACGAAAGCGUGGGGAGCAAACAGGAUUAGAUACCCCCGUAGUCCCUGUCUCUUAUACA
RNAcentral lists this ribosomal RNA (301 nucleotides) under uncultured bacterium. Its description in RNAcentral is "partial 16S ribosomal RNA". It matches the Rfam family "Bacterial small subunit ribosomal RNA", at positions 509 to 808 of the family's 1533-position model. The record is from RNAcentral.